GAUGAACGCUGGCGGCGUGCCUAAUACAUGCAAGUAGACCGCUGAAGGAGGAGCUUGCUCUUCUGGAUGAGUUGCGAACGGGUGAGUAACGCGUAGGUAACCUGCCUGGUAGCGGGGGAUAACUAUUGGAAACGAUAGCUAAUACCGCAUGACAACAGUUAUUGCAUGAUAACUGUUUAAAAGGGGCAACUGCUCCACUACCAGAUGGACCUGCGUUGUAUUAGCUAGUUGGUGAGGUAACGGCUCACCAAGGCGACGGUACAUAGCCGACCUGAGAGGGUGAUCGGCCACACUGGGAAGGAGACACGGCCCAGACUCCUACGGGAGGCAGCAGUAGGGAAUCGUCGGCAAUGGACGGAAGUCUGACCGAGCAACGCCGAGUGAGUGAAGAAGGUUUUCGGAUCGUAAAGCUCUGUUGUAAGAGAAGAACGAGUGUGAGAGUGGAAAGUUCACAAUGUGACGGUAUCUUACCAGAAAGGGACGGCUAACUACGUG
RNAcentral lists this ribosomal RNA (495 nucleotides) under uncultured bacterium. RNAcentral's name for it is "partial 16S ribosomal RNA". It matches the Rfam family "Bacterial small subunit ribosomal RNA", at positions 28 to 507 of the family's 1533-position model. The record is from RNAcentral.